GCACAGUCAACUCAGCAGAAUGAGUCCGAGCUGAGGAACUCGAGAAGAUGCCACAUCUGCCUGGAGAACAAAUAAGGAAAUGCGGCAUGGCCAAUUAACUCAGCAGAAGGAGUCUGAACUGAGGAACUCGAGCAUAUGCCACAUUCUGCCAGAAGAAUAGAUAAGGCAAGGGAAAUGAUACAUUGAAGCAUGUGGAGACAAGCACAACAAAGCACGUGCCGAUUCAUCCGCUACUUCUUCAAAAUCAAAAGUAUCUCAUAUCAUCAAAGUUGCAAUCA
This 278-nucleotide long non-coding RNA is filed under the name Malus domestica (apple). RNAcentral's name for it is "long non-coding RNA (MDOM_LNC003432)". The record is from RNAcentral. Lineage: Eukaryota; Viridiplantae; Streptophyta; Magnoliopsida; Rosales; Rosaceae.